UACGGAGGAUCAAGCGUUAUCCGGAAUCAUUGGGUUUAAAGGGUCCGUAGGCGGUUUGGUAAGUCAGUGGUGAAAGCCCAUCGCUCAACGGUGGAACGGCCAUUGAUACUGCCAGACUUGAAUUAUUAGGAAGUAACUAGAAUAUGUAGUGUAGCGGUGAAAUGCUUAGAGAUUACAUGGAAUACCAAUUGCGAAGGCAGGUUACUACUAAUGGAUUGACGCUGAUGGACGAAAGCGUGGGUAGCGAACAGG
Molecule: ribosomal RNA, 252 nt
Filed under: uncultured bacterium
Lineage: Bacteria
Description: partial 16S ribosomal RNA
Rfam family: Bacterial small subunit ribosomal RNA
Source: RNAcentral